RNAcentral lists this ribosomal RNA (406 nucleotides) under uncultured Filosa. RNAcentral describes it as "partial small subunit ribosomal RNA". It matches the Rfam family "Eukaryotic small subunit ribosomal RNA", at positions 30 to 432 of the family's 1831-position model. The record is from RNAcentral. Lineage: Eukaryota; Cercozoa.
GCUUGUCUCAAAGAUUAAGCCAUGCAUGUCUAAGUAUAAAUAAUUCUAUACUGUGAAACUGCGAAUGGCUCAUUAUAUCAGUUAUAGUUUAUUUGAUAGUCCCUUACUACUUGGAUAACCGUAGUAACUCUAGAGCUAAUACAUGCGCAAAUUCCCGACUGUCGCAAGGCGGAAAGGAUGUAUUUAUUAGAUAAAAAACCAAUCCGGCAACGGUGCUUGGUGAUUCAUAAUAACUGUUCGAAGCGCACGGCCUCGCGCCGGCGCUAGUUCAUUCAAAUUUCUGCCCUAUCAGCUUUCGACGGUAGUGUAGUGGACUACCGUGGCGCUAACGGGUGACGGAGAAUUAGGGUUCGGUUCCGGAGAGGGAGCCUGAGAAACGGCUACCACAUCCAAGGAAGGCAGCAGG